RNAcentral lists this ribosomal RNA (367 nucleotides) under uncultured bacterium. RNAcentral's name for it is "bacterial SSU rRNA". It matches the Rfam family "Bacterial small subunit ribosomal RNA", at positions 29 to 389 of the family's 1533-position model. The record is from RNAcentral.
AGUGAACGCUGGCGGCAGGCCUAAUACAUGCAAGUCGAACGGCAGCACAGCAGAGCUUGCUCUGUGGGUGGCGAGUGGCGGACGGUGAGGAAUACAUGGGAAUCUGCCCAGUCGUGGGGGAUAACGUAGGGAAACUUACGCUAAUACCGCAUGCGCCCUUCGGGGGAAAGGCCGGGGACCUUCGGGCCUGGCGCGAUUGGAUGAGCCCAUUGUCGGAUUAGCUAGUUGGCGGGGUAAUGGCCCGACCAAGGCGACGAUCCGUAGCUGGUCUGAGAGGAUGAUCAGCCACACUGGAACUGAGACACGGUCCAGACUCCUACGGGAGGCAGCAGUAGGGAAUAUUGGACAAUGGGCGCAAGCCUGAUCC